AACACAAAGAGAUUUGAUCGAGUUCACGGCCUCUAACCGCUACGUCUCGGGGGAGAACUCUUGCUCCCAAGCUUCACUAUUAGAAAGAGAUUACACACACCACAAACUUGUGAUGUUUUCUUUUGGUUUUCAGGUACACUCACACAAGAAGAACUUUGGAUCAAAAACGCAACAAAGAAGACAAAGACAGACUUUUUCAGAAAACUCUCUUUUCUCACGUUUUCUAGAACUCUCUACCGUCUUCUCACAUAUUCUUCCGAGAUAUAUAAGAAUAUAUAAUGGGCCACUUUUGCUCUUCUUUCUCUUCUUGUAAAUGUUAUUUUCGUCAGGCCCAAAUAGGCCCAUUUGGUGUGUGUUGGUCAAACCCAACAACAAUCUCCACCUUUUGACAACCACACCCAAACCUCGACGAUAUCGACAUACCAAACGCUCAACCCAUCUCUUUCUCUCUUCCGUGAAGCUGGAUGCCACCGGAUCGACGCAUCCUCCGGCAGUUUCCUCCGGCGAUUGCUCCUCCUUCUCCGGCGAGCUCUCGCCUCACCACCGGCCAUCAAAUUUGGCGAAUCACAGCAUCCUCUUCGCCUCUCAUCUUCACCUCCAUUCGUGAAAUCAGUUGCAGAUCCGACAGCUUCAAUGGCUAACUCAGGCGAAAUUCACCAUACUCUUCACCAAUUUCACGAUUGCUCUCUCUUUUGGUGAAUCAAGAGGCAUUAGAUCCAUCUCUCAUCCAUGCCUCUUCUCGGUGUUCUCUAUUUUUGCCACGCCGAUGCCGGUCAGCCCAGAUUUUCCGGCAAGCUUCACAUCCUCCUUGGCAAGCCUUACCAUUCACUGCAACUGUCGACAACCUCAGUUGAAUCACCUCAUAUGAUUAUCACUGGCUUCUUAGAGAACUCCACCUGAACCUGAAAUAUACCUUUCAACCCAAAUUCAGAAACCUUUAGAUACUCCACCUGGAACUAGUGAUUCCUACACCGUUCCAGUACUUAACAGGUAACACCAACUCCAAUUUAAAGCUUUACUCAAUUCUGACACUUGAGUACUUCUCACAAAACUGAAUCAUCUUGUUUCAACCUGUUUUGCGAGACUGUUGGAGUUACCUGUAGCCGCAGCUCCACCUCAGUGGAUGUUGAGAAGCUCGCAGCAAAGCUGGAACUUCUGGCCAGGAUCAAUGUUUGGAGGCAGCUCAAAAUCUCCAGCUAUGCCCACUUGAGUGUCUCUUCCAGCUGCUGCAGCUUCCUCUUCUGUAGUAGGUGGGUCUCUUAGCAGCUGCUCAUCAUUCAAGAUACUUUUCAGCCCUAGAACACCAAAGUGAGCCAGCAUCCUCACUUUCCACAACGAGAAGUCACCUGAUCCAUCAAACCGGUCCACUUCAACCCGAGCAUCACUCGUCUUAAACGAUUGCUUGCGGAAUAAACAACACAAAGAGAUUUGAUCACCGAGUUCACGGCCUCUAACCGCUACGUCUCGGGGGAGAACUCUUGCUCCCAAGCUUCACUAUUAGAAAGAGAUUACACACACCACAAACUUGUGAUGUUUUCUUUUGGUUUUCAGGUACACUCACACAAGAAGAACU
This is a long non-coding RNA of Arabidopsis lyrata subsp. lyrata, 1573 nucleotides long. RefSeq lists it as uncharacterized. NCBI's taxonomy places the organism in Eukaryota, Viridiplantae, Streptophyta, Magnoliopsida, Brassicales, Brassicaceae. The record is from RefSeq and is a predicted model, not a curated record. The transcript has 6 exons.